GGCACUUUGGCGGAGUGGUUAACGCGAUGCCCUGCUAAGGCAUUUCCUUCGGGAGCGUGAGUUCGAAUCUCACAGGUGUCG
RNAcentral lists this transfer RNA (81 nucleotides) under Aspergillus nidulans. RNAcentral describes it as "tRNA-Ser". It matches the Rfam family "tRNA". From Rfam's summary of the family: Transfer RNA (tRNA) molecules are approximately 80 nucleotides in length. RNAcentral also lists the same sequence under 1 other name. The record is from RNAcentral. Lineage: Eukaryota; Fungi; Ascomycota; Eurotiomycetes; Eurotiales; Aspergillaceae.